Molecule: non-coding RNA, 352 nt
Organism: Camelina sativa (false flax)
Lineage: Eukaryota; Viridiplantae; Streptophyta; Magnoliopsida; Brassicales; Brassicaceae
Source: RefSeq, a predicted model, not a curated record
ACAUCUUUAACUUCUCUUCUGAGUUUUCGUUGGCCUGGUUCACUAUUUUCAUAGCGUGCACCAUCAAUUAGUGAGGGUCCAAUCAACCAUGCAAGCCAACUUUUUAACCCCUUCUUGGGGUUACUUCUCGAGUUUGGCAAAUGUGAAGCUUGUGGUGCCACGGAACCUGAUCAAUGUGAAGGUCAUUUUGGGUAUAUUGAACUGCCAGUACCAAUAUACCAUCCUGCCCAUAUCACAGAGCUCAAACAAAUGUUGAGCCUUUUGUGCUUGAACUGUCUAAAGAUACAGAAGACUAAGAGACAGAGCACAAGCCAUGGUCUUGCGAAGCGGCUUUUAGGUGCCUGUUGUGAGG